Molecule: long non-coding RNA, 263 nt
Filed under: Nicotiana benthamiana
Lineage: Eukaryota; Viridiplantae; Streptophyta; Magnoliopsida; Solanales; Solanaceae
Description: long non-coding RNA (NBEN_LNC037569)
Source: RNAcentral
CUUCUUUUCUACAUUCUACAGGCCCAGCUUCUUCUGAGAAGUUCGGCAGCAAGGAAGUCUAUUCCCUUGGAUUCUAUUUGGAUUCCUUACCACCGGGGAUUCCCCUAUCCUCACUCUAGGAACAGUAGGAACAUACUGAGGCUAAAGUAGCCGCAGUCUUUGAGUAAGUUGCUAUUGAGCUCAGCCCCUGGUAACAUACUAAAGAAUCAUAUCCUGAGGACUAAAGAAAAGCUGCCUUGGAAUCGAAUCUGAAACUUUGAAAU